Molecule: long non-coding RNA, 970 nt
Organism: Chrysolophus pictus (golden pheasant)
Lineage: Eukaryota; Metazoa; Chordata; Aves; Galliformes; Phasianidae
Source: Ensembl
CUGAGAUGUAAAUAACAAACUAUGUGAUAUUUCCAAUUUAUAGUUUAAAGUAAAAUAUGAAACUUAAAGAAGUAAUGACUGUUGGCAUAUUGCAACGUGGAGAUUUAAAGGCCACAGCAUGGUCAUAUUAAAUUGUGGUAUACCCACAAUCAUGUUGGAAUUAACUUUAAUUUCUUUUUGUAACAUUGUAAAUCAGAUUACACUUCAUCUCAAAGAAUCCAGAACUCAUGAUUUACAAUUGAUUUUCUACAUUUUGAAUCUCUGCACAAUGCAGCAGCUUGCAUUCUCUCCGGGAUCUAGAAAUGAGGAAUUCUGGCUGUGUCCUAUUGCGUGUGAAGAGAAUGUCCAGGCUGUCCAACUGUCCAAGCAUCUCUCUGGCUUGCUUUUCUCCAGAAAAGUAUCAACUAAAGGCUGAGUAGGAAGACUAAACAUAGAUGCUACAACUGUCCUUCUCCAGGUUCUGCACAUCAUCCGAGUGUCCUUUGGCAGCAACAGUUGGCCCAAGCCUUGGAGCAGCAGCUGGUAUAUUUUCCAGGAGAGAAUAUGAAGAAAAAGGAGCUGCAGCCAUGCAUUUGCUUUUAAGAAGCACAGGAGGCACUGUGAUACCAAACCUUCCUCGGCUCGACUUUGGCAUAUGGGAUUACCUUGGCGUCAGUAGAAGUGGCAGAAGCAUUCUAAAACCAUGGACAAAAUCUUGCAGCAGGAAGAGCACGAAGUGCAGGCCACCUAGAGAUGAACUUGUACAAAAAAUCUCUUCUUUCAAACAGCAAAGUUUUCUCUACUGCAGGCAUUAUGUGGGCCUGCUGAUGGGCAUGAGUUGGUCUUCAUCCACUGGGUACCAAGGAAGGAGAGACAGUGCAUCUCUGGCUCAUUUCUUAUCUUCAAAAGGCUUGAUCCCAAACUCAUCAAAUUCAGAGGAGUAGAUCCCAGUGGUCUUUGGAUUAGUCUGGUAGGGUGAAAUUGUGGACUU